Molecule: long non-coding RNA, 307 nt
Filed under: Homo sapiens (human)
Lineage: Eukaryota; Metazoa; Chordata; Mammalia; Primates; Hominidae
Description: long non-coding RNA NONHSAT249537
Source: RNAcentral
GACUGCAAGAAAUUAACCAGUAGUAAAAAUAGUCUGUUUUUUGUGUGUUUGGGAUUUGUUUAUGUGUUUUUUUGCAUGGGUUACUUACAGCAGUUCUCUCCACUUUUAAUGUGCUCCAAAGGGAGAGGUCUUAAGAAAGAAUAGCAGUCUGCACUUAUCAAACUCAGCCACAAUCUCAGUCUGAGUUGGUAAAACCGAAAUGGCUCCUAAGGAAAGAGGAAAAUUUUAUGUCAUGAAUAGUCACAGUACUUUAAAUCUGAGGCCUCAAGUUCUAAGCAUACAGGUUGUCUUCCUGACUACAGUAGCG